This 254-nucleotide ribosomal RNA is filed under the name uncultured bacterium. RNAcentral describes it as "partial 16S ribosomal RNA". It matches the Rfam family "Bacterial small subunit ribosomal RNA", at positions 524 to 776 of the family's 1533-position model. The record is from RNAcentral.
CACGUAGGGGGCAAGCGUUGUCCGGAUUUAUUGGGCGUAAAGAGCUCGUAGGCGGCUUAGUAAGUCGGGUGUGAAACCUCCAGGCUCAACCUGGAGACGCCACCCGAUACUGCUGUGGCUAGAGUCCGGUAGGGGAGCGUGGAAUUCCCGGUGUAGCGGUGAAAUGCGCAGAUAUCGGGAGGAACACCAAUGGCGAAGGCAGCUCGCUGGGACGGUACUGACGCUGAGGCGCGAAAGCGUGGGGAGCAAACAGG